This 426-nucleotide ribosomal RNA is filed under the name uncultured bacterium. RNAcentral's name for it is "bacterial SSU rRNA". It matches the Rfam family "Bacterial small subunit ribosomal RNA", at positions 355 to 776 of the family's 1533-position model. The record is from RNAcentral.
UAAGGAAUAUUGGACAAUGGACGGAAGUCUGAUCCAGCCAUGCCGCGUGCAGGAUGAAGGCGCUCAGCGUUGUAAACUGCUUUUGGAUGGGAAUAAUAACCUCGACGUGUUCGGGGCUUGAAGGUACCAUCAGAAUAAGCACCGGCUAACUCCGUGCCAGCAGCCGCGGUAAUACGGAGGGUGCAAGCGUUAUCCGGAAUCACUGGGUUUAAAGGGUGCGUAGGCGGCGCGAUAAGUCAGUUGUGAAAUUCCCCGGCUUAACCGGCGGGACUGCGAUUGAUACUGUCGUGCUUGAAUCAGGUUGAGGUAGGCGGAAUGUGGCAUGUAGCGGUGAAAUGCUUAGAUAUGCCAUAGAACACCGAUUGCGAAGGCAGCUUGCUGGACCUCGAUUGACGCUGAGGCACGAAAGCGUGGGGAGCAAACAGG